This 460-nucleotide ribosomal RNA is filed under the name uncultured bacterium. RNAcentral describes it as "partial 16S ribosomal RNA". It matches the Rfam family "Bacterial small subunit ribosomal RNA", at positions 338 to 795 of the family's 1533-position model. The record is from RNAcentral.
CCUACGGGAGGCUGCAGUGAGGAAUAUUGGUCAAUGGCCGGAAGGCUGAACCAGCCAUGCCGCGUGAAGGUCAGUGCCCUAUGGGCGUUAAACUUCUUUUGUGCGGGAGCAAUAAUGGUCACGUGUGGCCAGACGAGAGUACCGUACGAAUAAGCAUCGGCUAACUCCGUGCCAGCAGCCGCGGUAAUACGGGGGAUACAAGCGUUAUCCGGAUUUAUUGGGUUUAAAGGGUGCGUAGGCUGUGAGGUAAGUCAGCGGUGAAAUGCCCCCGCUCAACGGGGUGAAGUGCCAUUGAUACUGCCUGGCUGGAAUGCGGAUGCCGUGGGAGGAAUGUGUGGUGUAGCGGUGAAAUGCAUAGAUAUCACACAGAACACCGAUUGCGAAGGCAUCUCACGAAUCCGCGAUUGACGCUGAUGCACGAAAGCGUGGGUAUCAAACAGGAUUAGAUACCCUAGUAGUC